RNAcentral lists this small RNA (28 nucleotides) under Bombyx mori (domestic silkworm). RNAcentral describes it as "ovarian small RNA-1623". The record is from RNAcentral. Lineage: Eukaryota; Metazoa; Arthropoda; Insecta; Lepidoptera; Bombycidae.
UUGCUUAUUUUCGAAAAAAUACAGGCCA